Molecule: ribosomal RNA, 776 nt
Filed under: Pelagicola sp. R2A0284152
Lineage: Bacteria; Pseudomonadati; Pseudomonadota; Alphaproteobacteria; Rhodobacterales; Roseobacteraceae
Description: bacterial SSU rRNA
Rfam family: Bacterial small subunit ribosomal RNA
Source: RNAcentral
AUGCAGUCGAGCGCANGCCUUAGGGACCGAGCGGCGGACGGGUUAGUAACGCGUGGGAAUGUACCCUUCUCUNANGAAUAGCCUCGGGAAACUGAGAGUAAUACCUUAUACNCCCUUUGGGGGAAAGAUUUAUCGGAGAAGGAUCAGCCCGCGUUAGAUUACAUAGUUGGUGGGGUAAUGGCCUACCAAGUCUACGAUCUAUAGGUGGUUUUAGAGGAUGAUCACCAACACUGGGACUGAGACACGGCCCACACUCCUACGGGAGGCAGCAGUGGGGAAUCUUAGACAAUGGGCGCAAGCCUGAUCUAGCCAUGCCGCGUGAGUGAUGAAGGCCUUAGGGUCGUAAAGCUCUUUCGCCAGGGAUGAUAAUGACAGUACCUGGUAAAGAAACCCCGGCUAACUCCGUGCCAUCAGCCGCGGUAAUACGGAGGGGGUUAGCGUUGUUCGGAAUUACUGGGCNUAAAGCGUACGUAGGCGGAUCAAAGAGUAUGGGGUGAAAUCCCAUGGCUCAACCCUGGAACUGCCUCAUAAACUCCUGGUCUAGAGUUCGAGAGAGGUGAGUGGAAUUCCGAGUGUACAGGUGAAAUUCGUAGAUAUUCGGAGGAACACCAGUGGCGAAAGCGGCUCACUGGCUCUAUACUGACUCUAAGGUACGAAAGUGUGGGGAGCAAACAGGAUUAGAUACCCUGGUAGUCCACACCGUAAACGAUGAAUGCCAGACAUCAGAUAGCAUGCUAUUCGGUGUCACACCUAACGGAUUAAGCAUUCCGCCUGAG